AUCAUUUUAAUUUUAUAGAUUAAUCUACCAGUCAAUGUCACUUACAGAUACUGGCAUUCUGUCUCAGUGUGGAAUGUGACCCCAACUACUAACUGGAUAAUUGAGUUUGGAGGAGGCACUUCAUACAGAGAUACAGCAGUUAUUGAACUCAGAUAUACUAGUGAUAAUGAUUGGUCUACUAGUGUAAUACCUCUGGACCAGUAUCAAGAUCAACUAAGAAGAAGGAUACUGAGUGAUUGGGAGAGUUUAGGAACAGAAAAACAGCUUCAAAUAGUUCAAGAUCAUCUGCAAUUAC
Molecule: long non-coding RNA, 295 nt
Filed under: Amphimedon queenslandica
Lineage: Eukaryota; Metazoa; Porifera; Demospongiae; Haplosclerida; Niphatidae
Description: uncharacterized LOC109589797
Source: RNAcentral